Molecule: non-coding RNA, 1557 nt
Organism: Nicotiana tabacum (common tobacco)
Lineage: Eukaryota; Viridiplantae; Streptophyta; Magnoliopsida; Solanales; Solanaceae
Source: RefSeq, a predicted model, not a curated record
CCUAGCAGCCAGAAGCCAUCUUCUUCAACCUUCUUCACAAGACAAGAGAACGAGGCAAACCCUAGAGCUAAAAAGGAGCUGUGCAGCAGCACUAAAAAGGGGGCAGAUGCUUGAAGGAAUAAAAUGCAACAGCUACUGCCCAUCUUCUUCCUCAAAACAGCUUCAUCUUCUUCAUUCAACAACCAUGAAAACCAGCUGAAACUUCAUUCAUUAAAACACUCCAAAAUCAGCACCUAAAACUCGACAGAACACGUCCAUUUUUACCUCAAAACACAGCAAAAAUCCAGCCAAAAAGAAGCAGCAAAACCAGUUUUUUAAACCUCCAAAAUCCAUCCAGGAACUCCAGCAAAGCUUCAGCUCGAAAUCGGUCUCAAAGUAGCUCAAAAAAUGAGUUGAAAAUAGUCUAAAAUCCAGCAACAACGAGCUAAAAACAGCACUAUUUCCACACCAAAUUCCGUCCAAAAACCAGCAUCUUUCUAGCCCCGAAAACCACCAAAAAUCACUCUCGAAACUGUCCGAAAUGCAGCUGAAACCUCUGUUCGAAAUAGCUGUGUUGCUGCUAAAAAAGACCAUAUGAAACACCACUCAAUAGUACCCUUUGAAUACCAGGAAACAACAGUGGAAAUGGAGCAAAAUCACCAUCCCUUUUCUUUGAUUGAGGUCGAGUCAAUGAGGUUUCUGGUCGAGAUCCUGGUCCCGAUUUAUGUGAGCUUCAUUGUAUGGUUUUGAUCUUGAAGAUCAUGUGUAUUAACUCCAUAAAUUAAACAAAGUUUGCUGUCAAAGUGAUUUUAAAUUGUGCAACACACACUUCUGUUACAACAACGUUUCCAAGAUCUUUGUAGUGCUGGAGGUAUCCUGCGGUUUUUGAAGCGAACCAAAUAGUAAGCAGUUCGAGGUCGUAGAUAAAGGUUUUAGUCGCUGGCUCAUUUGUUUCACUCAAAUUCCGGUAAGAAUCCGGUGAAGUUUUCGGCGAGACAUUCCAGUAGAGUUCUUGUCCGAGGUUUUGACAUUUCAGAUUCAUCGAGAUCCAGGUACAUCGACUCAGUCCUACCACCCGUGAGGCAAGACGACUACUCUAGAGACUUCGAGGUUGAGCACUUAUUGGAUAUCUUGAGAGAGCACAGACAAGCCAUUGGUUGGACUAUAGCAAAUAUCCGAGGGAUUCCCGCCGAAAUUUGUGAGCACAAGAUACAAUUGGAGGAAGAGAGCAAACCUAGCGUGGAGCAUCAAAGGAGGUUAAAUCCUUCCAUGCAAGAGGUGGUGAAGAAAGAAAUCAUAAAAUGGUUGGAUGCUGGGGUUGUCUACCCCAUUGUCGAUAGUUCUUGGGUGAGUCCGGUACAAUGUGUGCCAAAGAAAGGAUGCAUGACCAUGAUUCAAAAUGACAAAAAUGAACUCAUCCCAACAAGGACAGUGACCAAGUGGAGAGUUUGCAUGGACUGCCGGAAGCUAAAUAGUGCUACUUGCAAAGACCAUUUUCCUAUGCCUUUUUAUUGAUGAAAUGCUUGAUCGGCUAGCGGGAAGGUCACUUUAUUGCUUCUUGGAUGGUUAUUAUGGCUA